CGGGGCUUGCCUUAUUACAGGAGGAGAUCUGAGAUCUUCUAUCACGAUAGGCAGUUAGAUGGAGUCCACCACUGGAUCAAUAGCACUGGAGUAGGUUCCAUCUUCACAAGGACCAAUUCUUGUUCUUGGUGUUCUACAUGAAAUGAUAUGAAUAUGGAUAUUUACUUAAACUAGGAAUAUGCAACUUGCAAAGGAGACAACACAUAUUAUUCCUAGACUUAACAUAUAAGCUAUCAUCACAAGCCAUAACUACCAGGGAGCUACUUAUCCUUAGAAUUCAUCUAACCAUUCACAACUUGCUAAACAAUUUCAUCCUUUACUAAGACAUCAGGUGCCUUAAUUACCGAGGGGUAAAACUCUUUUUCUUUAUUGAGCAAUAAUUAAUUUACUAAGCAAAUCUUGUCCAAACAGUUCCAAACUUUAUCCAAGGGUUCAUAUGCUCAAGAUAAGCUUACACAAAUUUUCCUACAAUUUUUAGUGCUCUAUUUUUAUUACUAAAAUUUCAUAUAAGUUCAUUUAAAGCAGGUUUUAUUCAUCUAAAAAUAUUUAUUUGCUACAAAAACUCCAAAACUAUUUUUACCUGGAACGCUACCAAUUUACCUAUCUAACCAAAUUUGUUUUACUAAUUUAGCACUUUUCCACAAUUUUUGGUAUAAAUAAACAGACAUUAGGUAAAAGAAAAUGCUAAACACAUGAACAGUCUCGGGCCAGAACUAACCCAGCCAGCCCAACUCCAGGCAAAACCGGCCCACUCAGACAGCGCUUACAGCCCUAGGCUCCAGCACCGCGCGCGCCCGCGCUUCCUCUGCGCGUGUCGGCGGCUUCCAACUUCGAUGGUGUUAAGCCGGAAUGACGAUGCAGUAGAGUUCCCAACCAUGGUGGAGCAGGCACUUGCGACUCACCACAGAGCAGACCAACCCCAGAUCACGCACGCAACCGGCCCCAGACAAGGUCUGCCACGGCGAGACCGUUCCCAGCGGCGUUCACCGGCGGCACCGCGGCGUUCCCGACGAGACACUGCAGUAGAGAUGAAAAGGGUAGUGCCAUGAGCUUCACUGGCUUAAGGAGAUUACUGAACGCGAGUGACACGGGUGAGCAACUCCUCGAGACGACACGGCCACAGUGAGAUGAGAAACUGAUGAGCUCAGUCACCAGAAAAGGGAGAUUGGCAUGCGAUGAACAAGAGCAGAUCGAACCUGAUGGCCGGGGAGAGUAAACACCGACGUGAACAUGAACCACAACACUCACACGAUGCACUCUCGCUAGAACUCAAGAACGGGAAGAGACUUCACUGCCCUGGCCCUGCAGCGACUAGAUAAAAGGGUAGUGCAAAGUGAUUGAGCUCGGCCGGUUCACGGUAGAGAAGGCUUUGAUGGCGCCAGCACAACAUGGCUCAAACACGUGGCUAAGCUUCCAAGCCCCACGCCAACAUGCAAGCAACACCAAAGCAUCGAACUUGGGUUGGUUCACAGGCACACCACAAAUAUCCACUCUGCUCAGAAAUUCAGACAUAGAGGAGAGCAGAUAAGGACCCACUGUUCCCAGACAGUCCAAAACUUAGAUAUUUCAGUGGGGAGAGGCAUCUCCCUUGGCCACGCAUUUUACUCUUAUCUCCAUCCACAUAUUUAAAGUAACAUUUGCAGGGAAAAGGAUCUUCUUUAUUUACCAACUGAAACUCUGAAUUCAACCAAAUCAGGCCUGCUGCUCCCAUUCCCCUCCUCACUGUUUAAGCCCUUUGAUUUUAAAUUCCCCUUAACAAUAGACCAGACUUACUUAACCAAAAUUACUCUCCAAACCAAGCUCUAUCACUUUGGUAUAACAACCCAGGGCUAAAAACGUCUUGGAACAAAAACUAUGAUGCCCAAAAGUAGAGAAAAACCAACACUGGCAGCUCAAUCUCAAUUGACUGAAACAGCCCAUACCAAACUAACAUUAAGUUGUGUAACAGAAUUUUCUCUAAUUUCUUCCGAGUAACAAGCCCAACUCUUUAUAUAAAAAUUGUUCACCUUAUAACAACCUCCAACAUUUCUAUGUACUUCUUAAUCUGCAACUUGAUGGAAUGGUCGCAAGAGUGCCCCAAACUGAUUCAAGUUUCAGCUAUCAGCACCUGAAUCCCACACUUUUCUGACAGAACCCCCAUCUUAAUCCCCUUAAAUCUCAUGAUUCCAAAUGGUAACAGUGAAACGACCACAACAUAAAUUGCUCUCCCAACAUCCUUCUACAUCUUUGCUGCAGAAUCCCCAGUCCAAAACUCCAUGGAUUUGGUACUACAGACCUCCAAAGUCGAGCACAAAUUCACAAAAACUCAGUUUGCAGCUAACUGAACCAGAGUUCAGACCAUACCCAACUGACAGAGGAUGUUUAGGUGCAGUUUAUUCUUAGAUUUGUACAGCACUAAGCCUACCUCUCCUUAGAAAACUUACUCACCUUACUUUGGUCUCCAAGUUCUCUACAGAAACUACGGCCUAAAAGUGCAUGGAUUGAUCAACAAGGAGGUCCAAACUGAGCAUCAUACUGAACUUUCAGUUUCAGCUAUUUGAACAAAAAUUCAGUUAGUGCACACUGACAAUCCAUUUUUGGGCAAAUUUUACUUUCCUUUUUGUUUGUGAUCAAGCCCAACUCACUUAAAGGAGUCUGUUCACUAUAAUAUGGUCUUCAACUAAUCUACAGAAACCAUAGUCCAAAACUUCCUAAAUUAGCUACAAUAGAGCUCCAAAACUGAACUAACAACACUGAUUUCAGACUUAGGCUACUAUUCAAAAUCUGAAGAUCCAGAAGUCUGACAGCCCUACUUUGAACACAUUUUUUCUCCUAGUUGCAUAUGGUUUUAGGGCUGCCACAUUUCAUAAACGUUAUUCUCCUAUAGUUACUCUACAGGUUUGUUAUAGCAACUGUUUCCAAAAUAGUCAUGGAUUAUAAGUUACAGGGAUCCAAAAACAGAUAAACAAAACUGUUUUGGGCUGAUUCCAAUUGACCCAAAUCUGAACUUUUGCAAAUUACUUCAAAUUCUCCCACAUCACUUGGAGAGCUCCAAUUAUGAAAAUUGUUCACUUUCCCAAGCUCCACGACUUUUAUAUACGGACUUUUAGCAAAACAUAGCUAAAUCUUAAAAUCCACUUUUGCGCUAGUUUAGAGUUGAAAUUGGACUUGAUCUGCUUCAAGUGCUUCAUCAAUUUAUUGCAUCCUACUAAAAACAAGGUUAACCUUAAGCUCAAACCCAACUUUGGUGUAUAGAGCUUAUGUCCAAAUUUCCAUUAGUUUAAAAGUUGCUUGUUUGUACUAGAUUUCAAACAAGGUCUCUGAACUUCUCUUGCUCUCUUCGAAACGACACAACCUCGCCCUUUUCUCCAAGUUCCAAAUGCUUCUGAGGCCAAGUUGCUUAAUCAAAUUGGUGCUCCACAAGUUUGGUACAAUGACCCUUAGCUAGAACCAUAUGGAUUCUAAACCAUCAAAGCCCAAAGUUGGCAUUAAACACACAGAUUCAGACUUUGGUUUUUCACCAAGUUUGAAAAUCCAAAAUUAAACACUACAUUUUUUACCACUGUUUCUACCAGUUCCAAAUAGUUUCAGAGGUAUGAACCUUAACCAAACUUAUACCCCAACAUGUGGUCUUCCACUUUGGUACAUAAACUGUAACCCAUAGCUGUAUGGAUUAGCCACCAACAGGCUUCCAAAGUUGCUUCAGCAUAUAAAAUCUUCAGUUUCAGAUAUUGCAGUCUGAAAUUCAGAUUCUGACAUUCCCACUUUGGACCAGUUUCCACCUAGUUCCAUAUGAAUUUAGGGUUACGUAGCUUAAACAAAUUUACACAUCUAGUGUAGCUCUACAGCUUUGCUACUGUGACCAUCUUCAAAUUGCCUAUAUAUCAAAAGUUAUGAAGAUUCAAAGACAACUACUUGAUAUUGUUUCCAGCCAUCCAACCUUAGGUCCAAAAAGUUAAUUUUUGAGUUUUCUCCACUUCUUCCUAUAAAACAUGGAAAUCUCUAUACCUGAAAGUUGUUUGGGUUGGAGAACUCUAUAAAUUUGGUAAUUUGACCUUUUGGCAAAUUAUUGCCAAAUCACAAGUUCCACUUUUGGAGCUCUAAACUGAGAUUUUCAAAACCAGGUCCUUCACUCUUCAUUAAUCACAACAUCAUACUUAGAUUAUUUUGGAUCCUAGUGAAUGCAUUCUAAGUGUAUCAAGCAAGUUAAUGCAAAUGCUGAUGAUGACAUGUCAGAGUUUUAGUAAUCGUAACACCAGGGGUGUUACAGCCUUCCCCCCUAAAAGAAAUCUUGUCCCGAGAUUAAAAGUCUAGACUCAGUAAUGGAAAAGAAAAUGUGUCACCGGUUUAUUUUCCAUUUACUCCUACAAGGCAGGGGGUGUGCCCCCAUCGAAAGACAACUUAUACAAACCUAGGGUUUACAAGACACUAGGAACUCAGGAAUAUACUUUUCUAAAUACUUCUCUGACUACUACGCGACUUUAUCUUCUGGGUGUUAGUUCCACUGUAUUUCGUAAAAGUCGGUAACUUUUCUUCGAGUGACCCGAUCCUUUUGAUCUAACACCUUUAUGGGAUAUUCCGAGGAGGUUAAACCUGGUUUAUGGUUAACAUCUGAAAUCUCAAUACCAUAUUUGGGGACUCGAAGACAUUUCUUCCAUUGGGACACGUGGAACACGUCGUGCAGUGUUGAAGGUCCUUUUGGCAAUUGUACCUUAUAAGCUAUAGGUCCACCAAAAUCUCCGUUUCAAACCUUGGUACCUAUUGCUACCUUCAAGGUGAAUGGAGUCCCGGACUGCAACCCAAUCGCAAUUCCACAUCCCUUUUUGGAGGCAACUAGUCAAAUCUUCGAGGAACAUAUCCGAUAACUCCCUCACAUCAGGUAUAUCCUUUACUUCUUUCACUUAAACUCCUAAUGUAGACAAAUCUUAUUAUUUCCUAGAAUAUCCUGACUGACCAUCUCCUUAUAUCCUUCAACCAAACUAAUUGCCAUCAGGAGCUAAAGUUUCACAUUAAGAUCAAGUAGGAUGUAUUACUUUUUUUUUCACUGGCAUCCACAUAAUCCAAAACAUACUGGGAUAGGCGAGUAAACCUCUCAAAUAGUCCAUUACACUCGCUUCUUCACCUUGCUUUAGAUCCAAAAACGCUUUUAACUUUAUUUACAUAGGGGCUUCUGGAAUACGACGUGCCCGAAAUACCUCACAGAACUCAACCCGAGAACUUAAUGUCCUUCUAGCUGCAGCGCAAGGUAUUCUGCCCGCCAACUAAACUUGGCUUCCAGUCUUCAAAAAAAGGAAAGGUAGCAUAGAAAGGCAAAGACAGAUAGCAUGAACAGGGUAGACGAAACACGUACUAAACCUACUACAUGGGGGUUUAACUUAAAGUUAUAUGUCAUGAUGCAUGCUCGUCCUAUUCGUCCUCACAAUCUUGCCAGCAUAUAGUGGCUUGCACGCUCUAUGGCGGUGGCAUAUCUACUCACUCUGGAGUUAACUAGUCGUAAUUUUCUAGAGUUUAGUCAGUGUACCUGCAGAAAAUUUCAUUACAGCCCAAACCCCAUGAUGCAAUUCACACAUAUAGUCACAGUUUAUACUCCAUAUAUUUCUAUAUAGAGGCCAGCUCCUCAUUAAGCGCCGAGCCACGCAUAGGCGCCGCUGCCACACUUUAACCACAGGGCAGCCCAUUGUGGCAACUAUUCAUUACACUUCUCAGCACUCCCAUGUUUGUAUACCCAUACACAUCCAUGGGGUACUGAAUCCUAAAAAAAGUAAUUACUCCACAUUGCAACCUUUAUAUAUACAUAUGUAGAAUAUGUAUAUAGUCUAGUGCCACAUUUAAGCACUCCCCUAGACCGACGUUUGUUCGGUCAUGCUCUCACAACUCACCUUUACCUGAGCGUCGAUCCAUUCAAAACUGAAUGGCACUAAAAAUAACAUUACACAUGUAUGCAUUACCCUUCCCAGGUUGUGGGUUAGUGGUUAGCAUCUUAAACUAAGCCACCUGAUAGUCCGUAGUUUUAACCACAUACUAUUUGCACUUGUACUAUCAAGCCUUGAUUAUAGAUUCUUAAGUUUAUAAAAAUCAUUUAGACUCAAAAUCAUUUUGAAGUUUAUCAAAGGAUUACUUUAAUAUCCAUGCUAAUGGGGGAUCGCUCCGAUACCACACUGUGACAGCCCUCCCAAGUUAUCAGGCCCACAUGCACCAACUCUUGCCAUUAACGGCCUCAGAUGGUUGUGCACGUGUACCGGGUAACUUAACAAGGCUAUCACGAGUUCAACAACUUGAACUCAUUAUCCCAAGGAUCUCCCACAUUCAUGCAUAUUACAGUAAUCACACUCGAUACACACACACUUCGGAGAUAGAGCGGAAGACUUUACAAAAUAUAUUUUACAUUUCCAAAGCUCAAGUUUUACAACAUAAGAAGAAUUGUAAUUAUUACAAGUCCUGAUAGUACCCAAAGUGCAUAACUUAUUAAAAUAGUUGGAAGGGUGAAGCCUUUCCAUAAGAUAUAUACAUAAACAUUCUAAGCUUCAAGGCCUCCACAUGAAGUAACUAACCAAAAGAUAAGGGAAUAAAACUUCUCCUGCAAAAACAACAGGGGAUAAAACCCUGAGUACGCAAUUACUCAGCAAGACUUACCCGACUAAAGAAAAGACUCUCAAGGGUAUGCUAGCUGAUUGGGAAUCAAGGUAAAGUUUAUCAAUGAUCAAAGACUCCUUUUUGCAGAAAAGCUUGCUACCAGUUGAUCCUUAAGCCAAAUUUUAUUUCACUAGUUAGGUUAUUACCUGAAUCUAUAUUUGCAUGGUCUAGUUCAAGCACUUGGCCUAUACUAGUUGCAUUUUAUUCAUUCUCAUAUUUCACUUGCUAACUACGAUGAUGGUCACCGGGAUGAGUCUCCAUAACCGAGGAGCAACGACGAUUCGAACCGAUUAUACCCAGCUGGGGAUCUCUAACCACACGACAUAUGUAGCACUUAACCCUUGCAUAUGUCAACCGUUCCCACGGAGUCCUCCACUACAUGAACAGGUCCGCGCCACCCGAGAGAACAUUACCUACCAGGCGUGCUCUGUGCCAGGAGGGUACAUGCUACUCUCGCCAUCUCUCCACUCCCAGUGCGCGAUUGUCCCUUCACGUAUGGAAUAGCCGGGUUCAAGCUUACCCUGUCCCAUACCAGGGUAUGUGGCUAGUUGCAAAGUCUCAACCACAACAGGCCAGUCAACGGUACAGUCCUUAAUCGACACAAACGGGCGACUCUGUCUGCUCAGCGCCUGGUCUAGAUUUAUUAACCAUUUUCCCAUUUUUGGUACCCGACAGGGGUACUCUUUUCCAAUGAUGAGCCCACUCCGGCCGAAGUGGAGUCAUCACUUAGUUUGCUUUGAUUUUUGAAUCAAAAAGCCCAUAACCAAUGUUCCACAAUCAUUCUUUUGAAAACAAAUGAUUUUUCAGUUUCUAAGCAGGGUUAAGCAUUAUCAGUUCUUUUUAUAAAUCAGGGAUCAAGGUAUAGUAUUCAAAUUCCAAGGAAUGGUAAUGCAUCAAUUGUUCAUCACACAACUCCUAUCACCUAAUGCAUCAUUUAAGGUGAUAAAGCAUUUAAAACACAAGGAAGGGGCAAAUGCACCGGGGCUUGCCUUAUUACAGGAGGAGAUCUGAGAUCUUCUAUCACGAUAGGCAGUUAGAUGGAGUCCACCACUGGAUCAAUAGCACUGGAGUAGGUUCCAUCUUCACAAGGACCAAUUCUUGUUCUUGGUGUUCUACAUGAAAUGAUAUGAAUAUGGAUAUUUGCUUAAACUAGGAAUAUGCAACUUGCAAAGGAGACAACACAUAUUAUUCCUAGACUUAACAUAUAAGCUAUCAUCACAAGCCAGAACUACCAGGGAGCUACUUAUCCUUAGAAUUCAUCUAACCAUUCACAACUUGCUAAACAAUUUCAUCCUUUACUAAGACAUCAGGUGCCUUAAUUACCGAGGGGUAAAACUCUUUUUCUUUAUUGAGCAAUAAUUAAUUUACUAAGCAAAUCUUGUCCAAACAGUUCCAAACUUUAUCCAAGGGUUCAUAUGCUCAAGAUAAGCUUACACAAAUUUUCCUACAAUUUUUAGUGCUCUAUUUUUAUUACUAAAAUUUCAUAUAAGUUCAUUUAAAGCAGGUUUUAUUCAUCUAAAAAUAUUUAUUUGCUACAAAAACUCCAAAACUAUUUUUACCUGGAACGCUACCAAUUUACCUAUCUAACCAAAUUUGUUUUACUAAUUUAGCACUUUUCCACAAUUUUUGGUAUAAAUAAACAGACAUUAGGUAAAAGAAAAUGCUAAACACAUGAACAGUCUCGGGCCAGAACUAACCCAGCCAGCCCAACUCCAGGCAAAACCGGCCCACUCAGACAGCGCUUACAGCCCUAGGCUCCAGCACCGCGCGCGCCCGCGCUUCCUCUGCGCGUGUCGGCGGCUUCCAACUUCGAUGGUGUUAAGCCGGAACGACGAUGCAGUAGAGUUCCCAACCAUGGUGGAGCAGGCACUUGCGACUCACCACAGAGCAGACCAACCCCAGAUCACGCACGCAACCGGCCCCAGAUAAGGUCUGCCACGGCGAGACCGUUCCCAGCGGCGUUCACCGGCGGCACCGCGGCGUUCCCGACGAGACACUGCAGUAGAGAUGAAAAGGGUAGUGCCAUGAGCUUCACUGGCUUAAGGAGAUUACUGAACGCGAGUGACACGGGUGAGCAACUCCUCGAGACGACACGGCCACAGUGAGAUGAGAAACUGAUGAGCUCAGUCACCAGAAAAGGGAGAUUGGCAUGCGAUGAACAAGAGCAGAUCGAACCU
RNAcentral lists this long non-coding RNA (8789 nucleotides) under Zea mays. Its description in RNAcentral is "long non-coding RNA (ZMAY_LNC003540)". Lineage: Eukaryota; Viridiplantae; Streptophyta; Magnoliopsida; Poales; Poaceae. The record is from RNAcentral.